RNAcentral lists this ribosomal RNA (491 nucleotides) under uncultured bacterium. RNAcentral's name for it is "partial 16S ribosomal RNA". It matches the Rfam family "Bacterial small subunit ribosomal RNA", at positions 29 to 506 of the family's 1533-position model. The record is from RNAcentral.
AGUGAACGCUGGCGGUAGGCCUAACACAUGCAAGUCGAACGGCAGCACAGUAAGAGCUUGCUCUUACGGGUGGCGAGUGGCGGACGGGUGAGGAAUACAUCGGAAUCUACUUUUUCGUGGGGGAUAACGUAGGGAAACUUACGCUAAUACCGCAUACGACCUACGGGUGAAAGCAGGGGAUCUUCGGACCUUGCGCGAUUGAAUGAGCCGAGGUCGGAUUAGCUAGUUGGCGGGGUAAAGGCCCACCAAGGCGACGAUCCGUAGCUGGUCUGGGAGGAUGAUCAGCCACACGGGAACUGAGAAACGGUCCAGACUCCUACGGGAGGCAGCAGUGGGGAAUAUUGGACAAUGGGCGCAAGCCUGAUCCAGCCAGACCGCGUGGGUGAAGAAGGCCUUCGGGUUGUAAAGCCCUUUUGUUGGGAAAGAAAAGCGGCAGGUUAAUACCCCGCUGUUCUGACGGAACCCAAAGAAUAAACACCGGCUAACUUCGU